GAUGUGUGGGGGAAAAAUGAUAUAAAAACAAAAGGUAUUUGUAAUGUCUGGACUAACUUUCUGCAGGUUCUCUGGACCUGCUUUGGUCUUUAGGUGGAGAAGUGAUGAAGGCAGGAAUCCACAAAGAGGCUGGUCAAAGUAUCAAAAGACAUCUUCUUGGAUCAGAG
RNAcentral lists this long non-coding RNA (167 nucleotides) under Sarcophilus harrisii (Tasmanian devil). Its description in RNAcentral is "lncRNA (ENSSHAG00000021941.1)". Lineage: Eukaryota; Metazoa; Chordata; Mammalia; Dasyuromorphia; Dasyuridae. The record is from RNAcentral.